GCUUAUGGCCAUACCAGCCUGGCUAUGCCCGAUCUCGUCUGAUCUCGGAAGCUAAGCAGGUUUGGGCCUGGUUAGUACUUGGAUGGGAGACCGCCUGGGAAUACCAGGUGCUGUAAGCA
Molecule: ribosomal RNA, 119 nt
Filed under: Carassius auratus (goldfish)
Lineage: Eukaryota; Metazoa; Chordata; Actinopteri; Cypriniformes; Cyprinidae
Source: RNAcentral